UAAUACUGGAUACGACCCCCUGUCGCAUGGUGGGGGGUGGAAAGGGUUUGACUGGUUUUGGAUGGGCUCACGGCCUAUCAGCUUGUUGGUGGGGUAAUGGCUCACCAAGGCGACGACGGGUAGCCGGCCUGAGAGGGUGACCGGCCACACUGGGACUGAGACACGGCCCAGACUCCUACGGGAGGCAGCAGUGGGGAAUAUUGCACAAUGGGCGGAAGCCUGAUGCAGCGACGCCGCGUGAGGGAUGACGGCCUUCGGGUUGUAAACCUCUUUCAGCAGGGAAGAAGCCACAAGUGACGGUACCUGCAGAAGAAGCGCCGGCUAACUACGUGCCAGCAGCCGCGGUAAUACGUAGGGCGCAAGCGUUGUCCGGAAUUAUUGGGCGUAAAGAGCUCGUAGGCGGUUUGUCGCGUCUGCUGUGAAAGCCCGGGGCUCAACCCCGGGUCUGCAGUGGGUACGGGCAGACUAGAGUGCAGUAGGGGAGACUGGAAUUCCUGGUGUAGCGGUGAAAUGCGCAGAUAUCAGGAGGAACACCGAUGGCGAAGGCAGGUCUCUGGGCUGUUACUGACGCUGAGGAGCGAAAGCAUGGGGAGCGAACAGGAUUAGAUACCCUGGUAGUCCAUGCCGUAAACGUUGGGCACUAGGUGUGGGGGACAUUCCACGUUCUCCGCGCCGUAGCUAACGCAUUAAGUGCCCCGCCUGGGGAGUACGGCCGCAAGGCUAAAACUCAAAGGAAUUGACGGGGGCCCGCACAAGCGGCGGAGCAUGCGGAUUAAUUCGAUGCAACGCGAAGAACCUUACCAAGGCUUGACAUUCACCGGACCGCCUCAGAGAUGGGGUUUCCCUUCGGGGUCGGUGGACAGGUGGUGCAUGGUUGUCGUCAGCUCGUGUCGUGAGAUGUUGGGUUAAGUCCCGCAACGAGCGCAACCCUCGUUCUAUGUUGCCAGCACGUGAUGGUGGGGACUCAUAGGAGACUGCCGGGGUCAACUCGGAGGAAGGUGGGGAUGACGUCAAAUCAUCAUGCCCCUUAUGUCUUGGGCUUCACGCAUGCUACAAUGGCCGGUACAAAGGGUUGCGAUACUGUGAGGUGGAGCUAAUCCCAAAAAGCCGGUCUCAGUUCGGAUUGAGGUCUGCAACUCGACCUCAUGAAGUCGGAGUCGCUAGUAAUCGCAGAUCAGCAACGCUGCGGUGAAUACGUUCCCG
This 1203-nucleotide ribosomal RNA is filed under the name Kocuria sp. RNAcentral describes it as "bacterial SSU rRNA". It matches the Rfam family "Bacterial small subunit ribosomal RNA", at positions 164 to 1376 of the family's 1533-position model. Lineage: Bacteria; Bacillati; Actinomycetota; Actinomycetes; Micrococcales; Micrococcaceae. The record is from RNAcentral.